GACGUAGGGUCCAAGCGUUGUCCGGAUUUACUGGGCGUAAAGAGCGCGUAGGCGGUCUGUUAAGUGUGAAGUGAAAUCUCCAGGGCUCAACCCGGAAACUGCUUCGCAUACUGGCAGACUUGAGGAAUGCAGAGGUUUGUGGAAUUCCUGGUGUAGCGGUGAAAUGCGUUGAUAUCAGGAGGAACACCCAUGGCGAAGGCAGGUCUCUGGGCCGCAACUGACGCUGAGGAGCGAAAGCGUGGGGAGCAAACAGG
This 254-nucleotide ribosomal RNA is filed under the name uncultured bacterium. RNAcentral describes it as "partial 16S ribosomal RNA". It matches the Rfam family "Bacterial small subunit ribosomal RNA", at positions 524 to 776 of the family's 1533-position model. The record is from RNAcentral.